This 317-nucleotide unclassified non-coding RNA is filed under the name uncultured fungus. RNAcentral's name for it is "sequence contains ITS1, 5.8S rRNA gene". The stretch from base 269 to 317 matches the Rfam family "5.8S ribosomal RNA", at positions 1 to 49 of the family's 154-position model. The record is from RNAcentral. Lineage: Eukaryota; Fungi.
UUUCCGUAGGUGAACCUGCGGAAGGAUCAUUACUGAGGUAUGCUCGGUGCCGCGCAAGCGCUCCGGUUACCCGCCCAUAUGUCAUCUGUGCUGGGACCCCGUCCUUCUGGCCUUCGGGCCGGGGGGAAAAGGGGGAACAGGAAGAACAUUUCGGUCGAUGUGUUUUUGGUUGUGCGCCUGAGAAGGAGUAUGAUUUUAAACCGCGGCCGGCCGUAAUUUACACUCUUGUGAGAACAUGAAGUCUGAAGCAGAUUGAAAAAUUAUACAAAACUUUCAACAACGGAUCUCUUGGCUCUGGCAUCGAUGAAGAACGCAGC